This 253-nucleotide ribosomal RNA is filed under the name uncultured bacterium. RNAcentral describes it as "partial 16S ribosomal RNA". It matches the Rfam family "Bacterial small subunit ribosomal RNA", at positions 524 to 776 of the family's 1533-position model. The record is from RNAcentral.
UACGUAGGGGGCAAGCGUUGUCCGGAUUUAUUGGGCGUAAAGAGCGUGUAGGCGGCUUGGUAGGUCCGCUGUGAAAACUCGAGGCUCAACCUCGAGAUGUCGGCGGAAACCACUUGGCUAGAGUCCGGAAGAGGAGAGUGGAAUUCCUGGUGUAGCGGUGGAAUGCGCAGAUAUCAGGAGGAACACCGAUGGCGAAGGCAGGUCUCUGGGCCACUACUGACGCUGAGAAGCGAAAGCAUGGGGAGCGAACAGG